UUUUUUUUGCUGCCCGUAAUCUCAACCCAAACCUCUUUUCUCCUCCACCACCGUCUUCCUCUCCCGCCGCCGCUUCUGCCAGAACUGCACCAAAUCCCAGAGGCGGCAUUCUUAGAAAAUAUGAAAGCUAAUCGAUGCAAAAAUAUUCACAAGGAGGGACAACAAGACAAAAAGAUUGUCGUCUUUCUUUAUUUGUGCAAUCCUGCCCUGCAACAAUUGUGUGAAUUGCCAGAAUAUUCGCUUUCUGCUACCCCUGGAUAUUCCCAUUUUGGGUUAGGAUAUCUUCACACAAGGAAGGAAUACAAAGUGGUGCAUUUUUUCUGUAGUGUUCCUUCAACGACUAAAAGGUGGUGUACGUUAUCUUGGCGACUUGAAGGUUUCACAUCUAAAAUGUGAGGUUCUUACCAUAAAUAAGGUCGGUGGUAUUUUUCUUUAAAUAGAUGGAAAGAAAUUGUCAUCCGAGAUCUGAAGGACAGAUAGUAAAUGAAUGCUUGUUUGUGAUGGAUUUGAAACGCAUGCUUUGCGUACCAGACGCUGGCCGCUUCCACAGGAGUUCAAUUCUAGACCUGUGGAUAAGAUAAGUUGCACUUGGGUAAAGGAGUAUAGCAUCCGUUACGUUUGAUCGACUUUGGGUUUAAGAAAAUUACGUAUGUCUUCAUGACAUGCAAUGAAGAAAUAAUAUUCCAACAUUUGGAUAAAGUGGUCUUCUAUGACCUAAAAAGAAAAUCAAUCAGACAAGUGGUGGAAGCACUUUCAGAUCGGUUCUAUCCUUAUGGAGUUUACUCGAAAAGCUUGUUUUCUUUAGGAACCAUAUAGGUCCUAUUGCCCGAGGAGAAAUACCAAGAUUUUACUUUUUUGUUGUGAAAUACUCUAUUAAUCUUAAUUUAUAGUAUGUUUCGAUUGAAGUUAGUUUGAAA
Molecule: long non-coding RNA, 917 nt
Organism: Solanum tuberosum (potato)
Lineage: Eukaryota; Viridiplantae; Streptophyta; Magnoliopsida; Solanales; Solanaceae
Exons: 2
Source: RefSeq, a predicted model, not a curated record